UACGGAGGGUGCAAGCGUUAUCCGGAAUCACUGGGUUUAAAGGGUGCGUAGGCGGCUUUGUAAGUCAGAGGUGAAAGCUUCCCGCUCAACGGGAGAACUGCCUAUGAUACUGCAAGGCUUGAAUUGGCACGAGGCAGGCGGAAUGUGACAUGUAGCGGUGAAAUGCUUAGAUAUGUCAUAGAACACCGAUUGCGAAGGCAGCCUGCCAGAGCCUGAUUGACGCUGAGGCACGAAAGCGUGGGGAUCGAACAGG
This 253-nucleotide ribosomal RNA is filed under the name uncultured bacterium. RNAcentral's name for it is "partial 16S ribosomal RNA". It matches the Rfam family "Bacterial small subunit ribosomal RNA", at positions 524 to 776 of the family's 1533-position model. The record is from RNAcentral.